Salvelinus sp. IW2-2015 is the source of this 821-nucleotide non-coding RNA. The record is from the annotation of a RefSeq genome assembly. NCBI's taxonomy places the organism in Eukaryota, Metazoa, Chordata, Actinopteri, Salmoniformes, Salmonidae.
GCUUAGAUGUACUUUUCCUACACGGUUAGACUCAAAAUUAAAUGAUAGUUCAGCUUCAACUAUCACAGCGUACUUGCAAAAAAAUAAAAUUUAAUGGAGGAAUCUUACACACUGAGAGCAGUUAAAAAAACAUUCUGAUACAGUUUAAACCUUUCCUUGACUGGCUCUCGGUGGGCCUCUUUGUUUCCUGUACCUGUGGUAGGUGGACUUGUACACGCAGAAAAGAAAAUAACUUGCAUUCACAUCCUUCUUUCCAGCGAAACUGACAGGAAACAAUGAACAAGAGAACAGCUCUAACAAUUCUAUGCUGUUCCAUGUUCUGUGAGGCUUUUGGAGCAGAUCAAAAUGAGAUUCUAGUGAAACCAGGGGACACAGUCACCCUUGGCUGUGACAUUACCCUGGAGUACGAGAUCAUGUGGUUUGUUCUUCGUCCUGAUGCCACUCUUUCAGUAGCCACCACUAUAAAGACAAAUACACCCCUGAGCCUCAACAAAAAGUUUGAUGACCGUUUCGAGUCAGUGUAUGACACAGGCCUGUUCAGAAGCAAUCUGAGCAUACUGAACAUCUCAGAAAGUGACGUGGGUCUGUACUACUGUGUUGAGCAGAGGGCUAACAUAUUUGAGAUCGGAAGUGGGACCAAGCUCUCCCUUAUCAGUGAUGAUCAGCUCUCUACUACUGUUGUUGGGAUGAAGUUGUCAUGGUUUAUCAYCUUGAUCAURGCCCCCAUGCUCUCUGUACUGGGGUCUGCUCUCUGUGUCUUCUGCUGUUGACGACCUGUUAAGAAAUMAUUUGCACCCAAUAAUUCAAAUUUCCACAUUGAA